GCUUUAAUAAUUUAAUUUAAAAUAUUGAUCUUGUAAAUCAAAAAUAACUAAUGUUUUAAAGCU
RNAcentral lists this transfer RNA (63 nucleotides) under Anthicidae sp. DPP-2018. Its description in RNAcentral is "tRNA-Thr". Lineage: Eukaryota; Metazoa; Arthropoda; Insecta; Coleoptera; Anthicidae. The record is from RNAcentral.